CUCACAGAUGCAUCACAUCAACAGCACAAGUUUAGCUGCCUCCUUCCUUCUCCUCCUUUACCUGCCCUCCCUGAUGCAUCGCUUCCUUGCUGUCCCUGGACCUCGGGUACUGGCUGCAUGGAGGGCGGGUGCCUUUUAUCAGAAGACAAGGAGACGUCUUCUCCUUAGGAAAUGUUUAUGUGCCUUCCACAACACCAAAUUGAGAAAACAGAUUACCUUCCAGAAAGCCAUCUGUUUCAGCAUGAUGUGAAAACUCAGAGAAGAAUCCCACCUGGAAGGUGUCAUCUGAGAAACACCAGCAACUGAACCUCUGGACCCGACUGAGUAGCUCUUGCUGGGAAGCUGCACCAUUUUAUCAGUAGAGCUUUAAUUGUGGAGAGACUUCUCAUGCAGUUGUCUGCCACACUGUCGUUUUUUCAUGGUUACCUUAUCUAAAAUGAACCUCGCCUGCCUGUCUUUCCAUGGUUCUAUGGCUCAUUAUUGCUGCUGUAAAACUAG
Molecule: long non-coding RNA, 498 nt
Organism: Cuculus canorus (common cuckoo)
Lineage: Eukaryota; Metazoa; Chordata; Aves; Cuculiformes; Cuculidae
Exons: 3
Source: RefSeq, a predicted model, not a curated record